CUCCACCAUGAAGGGAACACUUCUUCUGCUGUCUUUGCUGGUGAUUGGAGAGCUGGGCUUCCAGACAACGGAAGCGUGCCUUACUUUCUUCGAAGGCUAUUGGAGAGUAGCCUUUGCAGGAAAGACACUGCUGAAUUCCUUCCUUUCAAAGUUAGACGCUACAGCCGCAGAAAGGGUGGCCCUUGAAAAAAAUCCAAGACUGCUACCAUGAAGGAGGACUAAAAACCAAACUUCUGGAUCUCCAAGUUAUGGAAGCCGUGAUCACCAGCCAAGAAUGCCUGACAUACCAUGGUGAAGAACUUGUAGCAAAAAUUACGGAUAUAUUUACCAGGUUAAACAGGCUUAGAAGUUAAUGGGUUUUAGGCAACCCAUCUUUGCAACAUGUCCGAUCCGAGCGUCCUCUUUCUUUCCUGAAGUUGGAUUCCUGACUCCUGUGCCCUCAUCCUUCAGUCUCUUAGGCUGAUUCUAAUAAAUGCCUGCAGCUCUGUUCUGUG
Molecule: long non-coding RNA, 494 nt
Filed under: Rattus norvegicus (Norway rat)
Lineage: Eukaryota; Metazoa; Chordata; Mammalia; Rodentia; Muridae
Description: long non-coding RNA NONRATT002541
Source: RNAcentral